RNAcentral lists this long non-coding RNA (235 nucleotides) under Setaria italica (foxtail millet). Its description in RNAcentral is "long non-coding RNA (SITA_LNC003048)". The record is from RNAcentral. Lineage: Eukaryota; Viridiplantae; Streptophyta; Magnoliopsida; Poales; Poaceae.
AACAGGAGUUAAGCAGAUUCUCCUAGGUCGUGUGUCCGACGCUGGGAAUUCGAUCAGUGAUUUCUAGCGCCAACACACUUUUGACACGCCCGGUGGGACCAAUACAACCGCCACCAUGUCGAAAGCUGCUGAAGUCUCCGAAGAUAACGUCAUCGAAGUGACAGAGGCAGAUCUCAGGGAUGACCAGAAGGAAGAACUAGAGAGGCAGACGGCAUACUACCGGAAGACAUGUCUG